Molecule: long non-coding RNA, 317 nt
Organism: Aedes aegypti (yellow fever mosquito)
Lineage: Eukaryota; Metazoa; Arthropoda; Insecta; Diptera; Culicidae
Exons: 2
Source: RefSeq, a predicted model, not a curated record
CUCAUAAUGUUCCAGCCAUUCAGCCAUAAAUGACUGUAUAGUCUUUUCCAUCGUAUCCUUGGCACUCCAUGAUGCUCUGUUUUAUUUUGUAAUGUAGCACAAUUUUUCGGUACUAUCCCUUCCGCUCUUAAGGUACAUUUAAUUAUUCAACAAAUUAUUAUGUUAACACUUCGUCACUGAAAAGAAUACGAUUCUUCCGAUUCAUGGUUUACUUGUAAAACAGAGGCCGGUGCAGCGCUUUUGCAAACGUAAAUUUCAUCAAUUAAUACAGAAGAAGAUCAAAUAAAUGUAGCUUCUAAUCAAAUAAUUCUCCAAAA